Molecule: transfer RNA, 73 nt
Filed under: Ailuropoda melanoleuca (giant panda)
Lineage: Eukaryota; Metazoa; Chordata; Mammalia; Carnivora; Ursidae
Rfam family: tRNA
About the family: Transfer RNA (tRNA) molecules are approximately 80 nucleotides in length.
Source: Rfam by way of RNAcentral
GCCCGGCUGGCUCAGUCGGGGGAGCGAGUGACCCUUAAUCUCAGGGCCGUGAGUUCGAGCCCCACGUUGGGUG